Molecule: ribosomal RNA, 464 nt
Filed under: uncultured bacterium
Lineage: Bacteria
Description: partial 16S ribosomal RNA
Rfam family: Bacterial small subunit ribosomal RNA
Source: RNAcentral
GACGAACGCUGGCGGCGUGCUUAACACAUGCAAGUCGAACGGAAAGGCCCCUUUGGUGGUGCUCGAGUGGCGAACGGGUGAGUAACACGUGAGUAACCUGCCCUUGACUUCGGGAUAACUUCAGGAAACUGGGGCUAAUACCGGAUAGGAAUCCUUGCUUCAUGGUGGGGGUUGGAAAGCUUCGGCGGGUGUGGAUGGACUCGCGGCUUAUCAGCUUGUUGGUGGGGUAGUGGCUUACCAAGGCUUUGACGGGUAGCCGGCCUGAGAGGGCGACCGGCCACAUUGGGACUGAGAUACGGCCCAGACUCCUACGGGAGGCAGCAGUGGGGAAUAUUGCACAAUGGGCGGAAGCCUGAUGCAGCAACGCCGCGUGCGGGAUGACGGCCUUCGGGUUGUAAACCGCUUUCGCCGGGGACGAAGCUUGAGGGACGGGAAUGGGUAAAGAAGCACCGGCUAACUACGUG